Molecule: ribosomal RNA, 2918 nt
Filed under: Parcubacteria group bacterium GW2011_GWA2_48_9
Lineage: Bacteria
Description: bacterial LSU rRNA
Rfam family: Bacterial large subunit ribosomal RNA
Source: RNAcentral
CGAAGGGUAUAUGGUGGAUGCCUUGACACACGAACGACGAUGAAGGACGUAGGAGCCUGCGAUAAGCCUCGGGGAGGUGGCAACCAACCUGUGAUCCGGGGAUAUCCGAAUGGGGAAACCCCCUGUCCGUUUGGACGGGAUCAUGCACUGAAUACAUAGGUGUAUGAAGAACACCUGGUGAAUUGAAACAUCUUAGUAGCCAGAGGAAAAGAAACUAACUCUUCGCGCAAGCGAAGAAACAUUCCCUUAGUAGUGGCGAGCGAACGGGGAAAAGCCAAAACUCUUCUCUCUCUUUGCAGCAAUGCAAGGUAUGGGUGUAGGCCCAAUGGAAGAAGGGCGUUGUGAGAAAAUUAUUUUGAACACGUGAAAUUCUAUGGGAAACCAGGGCGACUAUCGCUCUAAGGCUAAAUACGUCGUGUGAUCUAUAGUGAACAAGUACCGUGAGGGAAAGGUAAAAAGCACCCCGGUGAGGGGAAUGAAAAGUAUCUGAAACCAUAUACUUACAAGCAGUCAGCGUCCCGCAUUGCGGGAUCAUGGCGUGCCUAUUGAAGAAUGAGCCAACGAGUUUGUUCGGUAGAGUGCGGCCAAGCCCGAAAAGGGCCAAGCCACAGUGAAAGCGAGCGUGAUAAACGCGACCUAUUCAUUCUACCGACAAGACCCGAAGCCGUGUGACCUAUCCAUGGACAGGAUGAACUCCGCAGAAAUGCGGGGGAAGGUCCGAACCCACGCGCCGUACAACACGCGGGGACGAUCUGUGGAUAGCGGAGAAAUUCCAAUCGAACUCGGCAAUAGCUGGUUCUCCUCGAAAUAGCUUGAGGGCUAGCCUCCCGAAAUUUCUUACUGGUGGUAGAGCACUGAAUUGGUGAAGAUGGCGUAAGCCUACUUUACUAAACCAAACUCCGAAUGCCAGUGUAGAUUAUCGGGGGAGUCAGACCGUGGGGGCGAAGCUUCACCGGUCAAAAGGGAAACAGCCCAGAUCCUCAUAUAAGGUCCCUAAAUCGAGAUUAAGUGUUAAAGGAGGUGCAAAAGUUCAGACAACUAGGAGGUUUGCUUAGAAGCAGCAAUCCUUUAAAGAAAGCGUAACAGCUCACUAGUCAAGCUCUUGCGCACCGAAAAUGUACCGGGGCUCAAAUCUCGUACCGAAUAUGGGAACUUCUGCCUUUUAGGCAGAAUUGGUAGAGGAGCGUUCGAAGUGCGGUGAAGUCGUUUCGACAAGAAACGGUGGAGCGCUUCGAAGUGAGAAUGUUGGCAUAAGUAGCACAAAGACGGGUGAGAACCCCGUCCACCGAAAACUCAAGGUUUCCUGGGCAACGCAAAUCGUCCCAGGGUUAGUCGGUCCUAAGGCGAGGCUGAAUAUGCGUAGCCGAUGGACAGCUGGUUAAUAUUCCAGCACCGCCACUGUAUGUAUGCGUUUUGACGCACGGGUAAAUUGUCUGCGUGUUCUGGUUAUGCACGCUCUUGGUCUGGCGUAAAGUCGGAUUGAGAGAAGGUUGCGGCGCAAGCCAAGACCAACAGAUAAGGAUCACGUGCCGCGAAAAGAAACGUAUACUUCAAUGCAGUGGUGUCCGUACCGCAAACCGACACAGGUGAGUAAGGAGAGAAUCCUAAGGUGAACGAGAGAACCCUCGUUUAGGAACUCGGCAAUACAACGGCCGUACCUUUGGUAUAUGGCCUGUCGCCGCAAGGCGACCUCAGUAAAAGAUCUCAAGCGACUGUUUAUCAAAAACACAGGUCCCUGCUAAACCGAAAGGUGAUGUAUAGGGGCUGAUGCCUGGCCAGUGUCAGAACGUUAAGGUGAGGGGUGCAAGCUCCGAGCUGAAGCGCUGACGAACGCCGGCGGUAACUAUAACCGUCCUAAGGUAGCGAAAUUCCUUGUCGGGUAAGUUCCGACCUGCACGAAUGGCAUAACGACUUGAGAACUGUCUCAACGAGGGACUCGGCGAAAUUACAAGAUGAGUGAAGAUGCUCAUUACCCGCGGCUAGACGAAAAGACCCCGUGAAGCUUUACUACAACUUGGCAUUGUCAUAACGUUUUUACUGCCGAGAAUACGUGGGAGACUAUGAAGGUUUGCCUUUGGGCGGACUGGAGUCGCAAUAUGGAAUACCACGCUGGAAUGAUGUUAUGACUAACCUCUUGCCCUUAUCGGGCAGAGAGACAGUGUCUGGUGGGUAGUUUGACUGGGGCGGUCGCCUCCCAAAACGUAACGGAGGCGUUUACAAAGGUUGGCUAAGCUCGGAUGGAAAUCGAGCUGAUAGGGCAAAGCCAUAAGCCAGCUUUACUGCAAGACGUACAUGUCGAGCAGUUGCGAAAGCAGAACUUAGUGAUCCGACCGUAUGUGGCGUAUUGCAUGCUUGUCCCGAAUUUAUUUCGGGAUCUGCAGCAGUAUGUCCUCGAUAUAGGACGGCGGAAGCUCAUCGGAUAAAAGCUACUCCGUGGAUAACAGGCUGAUCUCCUCCAAGAGUCCACAUCGACGAGGAGGUUUGGCACCUUAACGACGAAAUCGGGGUGCUAUGAAAGUAAUUUCAUACCAAGAGAAAAAUAAAUUCGGCUUAUAACGGUGAACUCCUCAUUGCACACCGAUAGGGUGCAAAAGGACAAUACCGUCGGUACGCGAGCUGGGUUCAGAACGUCGUAAGACAGUUCGGUCUCCUAUCUGCCGUGGGCGUUAGAAAUUUGAGAAGACUCUUCCCUAGUACGAGAGGACCGGGAAGAACGAACCUCUCGUCGACGAGUUGUCCCACCAGGGGCAUUGCUCGGUAGCGACGUUCGGCACGGAUAAGCGCUGAAAGCAUAUAAGCGUGAAGCCGUCUUCAAGAUUAAAUUUCUUUUAAGCUCCCCGAGAGAUGAUCGGGUCGAUAGGCUCUACGUGGAAGUCCUGUAAAGGAUGAAGCGGAGGAGUACUAAUAGAGCGUAGAGC